Molecule: long non-coding RNA, 1830 nt
Organism: Gadus macrocephalus (Pacific cod)
Lineage: Eukaryota; Metazoa; Chordata; Actinopteri; Gadiformes; Gadidae
Exons: 2
Source: RefSeq, a predicted model, not a curated record
UUAGUUACAAAACACUUGGUCAGUGUUGAAUGACCAUGUACGGAGGGAAUACUUUGCAAUUAUUGGAACAUAAUCGAAGAGGAGAGGGCAAACGGCCGCCCAGUUGUUGCUAUGGGAGUAGCUCCAAUAGCAGCUAUGGGAGUAGCUCCAAUAGCAGCUAUGGGAGUAGCUCUAAUAGCAGCUAUGGGAGUAGCUCCAAUAGCAGCUAUGGGAGCAGCUCCAAUAGCAACAUGGUCUAUAAGCGGGAGGGGAAAACUGACGAGUCACAACAGGUUCCUUUCGUUGCGUGGGGAGGAGAUUAAACUCGGCUUUCAAUUUGUGUGAACUGAAACAUAUACGCUUCAACAUUACAACGUCCUCUUUUAAGCAGUUUUUUAACCGUUCCGAAGAUUCAGACAACCCGCUGAGCGACUGGACCAUACGGGGGACAAGCUGGCAGGUGGACCAUUCCUACGACGUUGGAGAAGCAUAGAUCUGCCUCUUGAUAUGAAUGCUGAUUCAUUGACAAGUACAACGAGCGAGGAUUCAACCCACCCAACAUGUUGUCCAGUUAUGGAAUGCCAUUGGGGACUAAACCGUCUGGGAAUAUACGGCUCGAUUCGACCAAAUGGACCACGUCAAGAAAGACGUGUUGGCAGGACCCACAUUUAACGUCUUCUGACGUUCCAAUCAAAAUGUAACGAAUGGCUUUUAUGGUCGAUUGUCAACUAGGAUGAACUACAGCCUAAUUAUACUUCAAACAAAACCAUAGUUUUGUUUUAGUUUUUAGUCAGUAGCUCUGAACCUUACUAAGCACCUUGUCAAAAUAAUCUGUAACUAAGUCUAUCUCGCAUGUCUGAUCUUUUUUUUUUUUCGUGCCUCUGCCAUGUAAUUUACACGUUGACUCAUUGCAGGACAGAGUACUGCCAGUGAAUUAACAAGAAAGGGCCGUCAAUUUGGUUUUGAUUGGAUGACGUUUCAACUGUCAACAAACGUAAAUUUGGUCAUAUGCACUUAAGAAAUAAGACUUUUUAUUUCAUUCAAUGUUACAACAUUUAUAAGAUGUCAGACAAAGCAUUGCAAAAAGAUUUUCAUUCCGUUAUUUGUGUCAUAUGGGGGGGGGGGGGGGGGGGUUGCUAAUCCAAAUGACGGUUGCCCACAAGGCGAUUCUAUCUAUGCCUCUUCUUGAAAUGCAUCAUGUUUUAGUCGGCACAGGCUUGUAAUUCUGCAUAGCAUGAUGAGCAUGAUAAGGUGCAAGGAGCAGAAAAAGUUAAUAUGGGUUCUAAAAAUAGUAAUAUUUUUUAAUAAGCUGAUGAAGCUGACACGUGGCCAUUGUUUCCUGUAUACAAAUAUUUUUAAUUAAAUGCAAACCCCAGUGAAUCAUUUACUCUUGUUUCUCUGUUUUGAGAUUCACACAGACUUAGCAGUCUUGUUUAAAUUUUACAAAUUGAGUUGAUAAAAUGAAUUUGGAAAUUGUUUUAAGUGUUGCAGAUGUUAUCUACGCAAAUUUUUCUAUUUCAAUACAGGGAUGGCGCCCAGGGGGGGAAUGACAGAAAAUGAUUGAGAAUCACUGGUCUAGAACAUGUUGUACUUGUUGAUUAGCUCAUGUUGUUAUGGCAAUGAAAACGCCCUCAGCUGAUAAAAUAAUGCCAGCGGUUGUUUUUUUUACUGAAAAUUAGCACCCUUUGUUUUUGCAUCAGAAGAUUUAUAAAAAUGUAUGGGUCCCUGAAAGUGUGACAACAUAGUUUAGUGCUCCCGAAAAAGUGGUAUGUUUCUCAUAUUAUUGAUCUGGUACAUGUUGUACCAAUGUGUUUCAGCAACUGUCAAUAAAAAAAAGGGAAAAUAUGGUCA